CGGCGUCCCCAAGCCCAACCCUAAACCCUGACCCUAAACCUCUCCAUAACCCUGACCCUGACCCUAAACCACACCCUAACCCUAACCUCAACCCUGACCCUAACCCUAACCUCAACCCUAACCUGACCCUAAACCUCACCCUAACCCUGACCCUAACCCUAACCCUAACCCCAACCCUGACCCUAACCCUCACCCCAACCCUAACCCCAAUCCUAACUCUGACCCUGACCCUAAACCUCACCCUAACCCUGACCCUAAACCUCAAGCUCACCCUAACCUCAACCCUAACCCUAACUCUGACCCUGAACCUAACCCUAAACCUCACCCUAACCCUAACCCUGACCCUAAACCUCACCCUGGCCCUAACCCUAACCCUGACCCUAACUCUGACCCAGACCCUCACCCUAACCCUGAACCUAAACCUCACCCUAACCUUAACCCUGACCCUAAACCUCACCCUAACCCUAACCCUAACCCUAACCCUAACCCUAAACCUCAACCUCACCCUAACCUCAACCCUAACCCUAACCCUCACCCCAACCCUAACCCUGACCCUAACCCCAACCCCAACCCUAACGCUGACCCUGACCCUAAACCCUGACCCUAGCCCUGGCCCUAAACCUCACCCUAACCUUGACCCUAACCCUCACCAUAACCUCAACCCCACCCCGAUCCUAACCCUGACCCUAACCCUCACCCUGACCCUAGCCCUGACCCUAAACCUCACCCUAACCCUGACCCUAAACCUCGACCCUAACCCUGACCCUAACCCUCAACCUAACCCCAACCCCGACCCUAACCCUGACCCUAACCCUGACCCUCACCUCAGCUCCUCGGGCAGCUGCAGGGAGCGGGGCUUUUCCGCAGGCCUGCAGCCCCACCGUGGUUUGACAGCCAGCGAGGCUGCUGAUCAGAAACAGCUCUGGGACCGGCGAGCUCUUCUGGAAUUCCUGUGGGCAUUCUGCCCGUUCCUGCAGGACUCCCAGGGUCACACUCAGCUGGGCAGUGUUUCA
Molecule: long non-coding RNA, 1013 nt
Filed under: Lonchura striata (white-rumped munia)
Lineage: Eukaryota; Metazoa; Chordata; Aves; Passeriformes; Estrildidae
Description: domestica (Bengalese finch) lncRNA (ENSLSDG00000013255.1)
Source: RNAcentral